RNAcentral lists this ribosomal RNA (253 nucleotides) under uncultured bacterium. Its description in RNAcentral is "partial 16S ribosomal RNA". It matches the Rfam family "Bacterial small subunit ribosomal RNA", at positions 524 to 776 of the family's 1533-position model. The record is from RNAcentral.
UACAGAGGGUGCAAGCGUUAAUCGGAAUUACUGGGCGUAAAGCGUGCGUAGACGGUUGCGUAAGUCAGAUGUGAAAGCCCCGGGCUCAACCUAGGAAUUGCAUUUGAGACUGCGUAGCUAGGGUGCGGAAGAGGGAAGCGGAAUUUCCGGUGUAGCGGUGAAAUGCGUAGAUAUCGGAAGGAACACCAGUGGCGAAAGCGGCUUCCUGGUCCAGCACCGACGUUCAGGCACGAAAGCGUGGGGAGCAAACAGG